UACUCUUUCACAUCAUCUUCCAUGUGAGGCCAAUAAUAGCCCUGUUUUAGCAAAGCUAGCGUGCGCCGCCAACCAGGAUGUCCAGCCCAUAGCGUAUCGUGGCAUUCUUUUAAUAGUAGUCUUCUGAUGUUCCCUCCCUUUGGGACAUAUACUCGACUUCCUCUUGUCAAAAUUAGAUCAUUGUCUAUCCAAAAUUGGCGAGUCUUCCCUUCUUGAGCUAGAUUCCACAAGCCUAGUGCUUGAGGGUCCCUCUUCAAAUUUCCUCAAAUCUAAUCACCCACUGAGUUUUCCACUCGGCUUUGAGACAACUGAGCAAUUCGGCUAAGAGUGAGAACUUCUGACUUUCUGCUUAAUGAGUUGAUAAGACAAAAAGUCAAGGAUGUUGAUGCAGCCAUUGUAGCAGCCGAAAGCCUAAAUGACUACUCCUCUCCAGCGAAAAAAAAUUUUAAUUCCCCUAUUUCCCAGGAUAGCCGACCUAACAAGUGGAAUAAGUCACAAAGGGAGGAGUGACUAGUUGGCCACCAGUGGGGACUGGCCCAGCUGGUCACCGUAGGCCUAUCGAGUCCCUGUGCUGUGCCUCCACCCUUGUAGGCAUUCCCCCUUGUCUGCAAGUGGUGUGAGGAUCAUUGUAUUGAAUUGCGUAAUGAUUAUUUUACCCCUGAAAUGAAAUGAGUAGCCCUUUUAUCAAAAUAUCGGUGCCUACAUGUGAUACCUUGGUUGCUUAUGCUAUUAUGCUUGUUGGGUGUUAAUAUAUGCUUGACAUGUUUUAUCUUGCACGCUUUAACAGCAUUCUAGCCUCUUUGCUAACCGACGUGCUUCGUUGUGCAGACCAACGUGUAGAUACAUCGGCUGACUUGCCUUGAUAGCAUUCAAGUCGAGUGCCACACGGUCCCAAUUAAGUGCCAAAGCCUGGGCCCGUGACAUUUGCUAGCCAGGUGGCAGGAGUGCUUACCGGAAUUUGAUUUCCAGUUCGAAUAUAAACCUGGGAGUUCCAAUAGAGUUGCAAAUGCAUUAAGCAGAAAGUCAAAAGUUCUCACUCUUAGCCGAAUUGCUCAGUUGUCUCAAAGCCGAGUGGAGAACUCAGUGGGUGAUCAGAUUCAAGGAAAUUUGAAGAGGGACCCUCAAGCACUAGGCUUGUGGAAUCUAGCUCAAGAAGGGAAGACUCGCCAAUUUUGGAUAGACAAUGAUUUAAUUUUAAAGAGGAAAAGUCGAGUAUAUGUCCCAAAGGGAGGGAACAUCAGAAGACUACUAUUAAAAGAAUGCCACGAUACGCUAUGGGCUGGACAUCCUGGUUGGCGGCGCACGCUAGCUUUGCUAAAACAGGGCAAUUAUUGGCCUCACAUGGAAGAUGAUGUGAAAGAGUACACAAAGACGUGCUUGGUGUGCCAACAGGACAAAGUGGAUAGACAAAAACCGGCAAGUCUUUUGCAACCUCUACCAAUUCCAAGCAGACCUUGGGAGAGCAUUUCCUUGAAUUUCAUUGCGGGCCUACGAAAAGUGGGGGAGUAUGAUCACAUCUUAGUAGUUGUAGAUCAGUUUUCCAAGUAUGCCACCUUCAUACCAAUGUCGAGAUAUUGUUCAGCUGAAGAAACAGCCAGAGCUUUCUUUAAACAUGUGGUGAAGUAUUGGGGUGUUCCUAAAAGCAUUAUCAGUGAUAGAGAUGGGCGGUUCACAGGUACCUUUUGGUCGGAGUUAUUUAACAUCUUAGGCACCAAGCUAAAUGUAUCGACAAGCCUUCAUCCUCAGACCGAUGGACAGACAGAGCGAUUCAAUGGGUUGCUAAAGGAGUACUUGCGACACUUUGUCUGCAGCAACCAAAAGAACUGGGCCUCGUUACUUGAUGUUGCACAGUUUUGUUUUAAUUCCUUAAAGAGCUCUACCACUAACAAAAGUCCAUUUGAGAUUGUUACAGGUCAACAACCACUGGCACCUCAUACUCUCGAUGUGCCAUACACAAGGAGGAACCCCAAGGCAUAUCAAUUUACGAAGGAGAGGAAGCCAAAUGCAGAUAUUGCACGAGCUCAACUAGAGAAGGCAUCCAAGCAUAUGAAGAAGAUGGUUGAUGAGCAUCGAAGACCUCAAGAGUUUGCAGUGGGAGACUUAGUGAUGGUCAAGCUGCUACCAGAACAACUGCGAUUCCUCUGCAACCGAGAUCGAAGAUUGGUGCGCAAAUAUGAAGGGCCAAUUCCAAUUAUUGCCAAAGUGGGACCUGUUGCAUAUAAAGUUGAGCCACCGCAAUGGAUGAAGAUCCACCCAGUACUUCACGUGAGCAGACUUAAGCCAUACCAUGCAGAUGUGACAGACGACACCAGAAACAAACCCUCAAGACCAGCCGUUUCACGAGCAGCACUAGUGCAUCAAGGCAUUGAAGAAAUUUUAGCUGAACAAGUUAUCAAGACCACCAAAAGCCCUUCUUACAAAGAAUACCUUGUCAAAUGGAAAGGCAUCAACAUCGAAGAAACCAAUUGGGAGAAAGAGUCAAGCCUCCAACAAGAUUCCCAGAAGAUUGAAGAGUUUCAUCAAACUCAGUCGACGAGGACGUCGACCGUUUAAGUGGGGGAGAUUGUUAGGGUUCUAGAAUCUUAGAGGGACUAAAAUGUAAUUUUCCCAACAUGGGAUUUUUCAGAAACAAGAUGGGUAUAAAUUAGUAUAAAAUAGUAGUAUCAAAAGUGUUAUGUCAAUUUCUUGUAAUUCAUUCUCAUGUAUUUAUUAAGGGGGGUGUCACCACAGACAUAUUGAUGUCUCCUCCUGCCACAGCUCAACUUGUCCUUAAGGCUCUUUGGGGGGAGUGACUAGCUGGCCACCAGUGGGGACUAGGCCCAGCUGGUCACCGUAGGCCUAUCGAGUCCCUGUGCUGUGCCUCCACCCUUGUAGGCGUUCCCUCCUGUCUGCAAGUAGUGUGAGGAUCAUUGUAUUGAAUUGUGUAAUGAUUAUUUUGCCCCUGAAAUGAAAUGAGUAGCCCUUUUAUCAAAAUAUUGGUGCCUACAUGUGAUACCUUCGUUGCUUAUGCUAUUAUGCUUGUUGGGUGUUAAUAUCUGCUUGACAUCUUUUAUCUUGCUCGCUUUAACAGCAUUCUAGCCUCUUUGCUAACCAACGUGCUUCGUUGUGUAGACCAACGUGUAGAUACAUCGGCUGACUUGCCUUGAUAGAGUUCAAGUCGAGUGCCACACGGUCCCAAUUGAGUGCCAAAGCUUGGGCCCGUUACAUUUGGUAUCAAAGCUCGAACGAUCUACGAGCAGUGUGAAAGUAUGACGAAGUCGGCAACCCGCAUUGAUGCCCUUGAGAGAAGGGUUGAUGAUCUUGCUGCGUUGUCUAAUACAUAUGCCACCCAAGAGGGGAUGUCACUGGAAUUUGAUAAUGUUUACCAGCGCAUGGCGCUGCUAGAAGAGAAAAAUGAACAACUUUUGACUGUGAUAGCCAAGUUGUCUAGAAGCGAAGGGGAGCCCACGGUGGUGGAGCCAACCCAAAAUUCCCCUGUUGGGAAUGACACCCGGUGGGGUGAUC
Molecule: long non-coding RNA, 3504 nt
Filed under: Manihot esculenta (cassava)
Lineage: Eukaryota; Viridiplantae; Streptophyta; Magnoliopsida; Malpighiales; Euphorbiaceae
Description: long non-coding RNA (MESC_LNC001358)
Source: RNAcentral